GAUGAACGCUGGCGGCGUGCCUAAUACAUGCAAGUCGAACGAAGAUCUAGCUUGCUAGAUCUUAGUGGCGAACGGGUGAGUAAUACAUAAAUAAUCUGCCCAUAUGACUGGGAUAACUAUUGGAAACGAUAGCUAAUACUGGAUAGGUUGAUCGGAGGCAUCUCUGAUGAAUUAAAGUAGGAUUUCUACACAAAUGGAUGAGCUUAUGGCGCAUUAGUUAGUUGGUGGGGUAACGGCCUACCAAGACGAUGAUGCGUAGCCGACCUGAGAGGGUGACCGGCCACACUGGGACUGAGACACGGCCCAGACUCCUACGGGAGGCAGCAGUAGGGAAUUUUCGGCAUGGGCGCAAGCCUGACCGAGCAACGCCGCGUGAGUGAUUAAGGCCUUCGGGUUGUAAAGCUCUGUUGUAAGGGAAGAACAUUCAGGAUAGGAAAUGAUCUUGAACUGACGGUACCUUACCAGAAAGCCACGGCUAACUACGUGCCAGCAGCCGCGGUAA
RNAcentral lists this ribosomal RNA (502 nucleotides) under uncultured bacterium. Its description in RNAcentral is "partial 16S ribosomal RNA". It matches the Rfam family "Bacterial small subunit ribosomal RNA", at positions 28 to 523 of the family's 1533-position model. The record is from RNAcentral.